CAGCCGCCGCGGGAAUACAGAGGGUGCGAGCGUUAAUCGGAUUUACUGGGCGUAAAGCGUGCGUAGGCGGCUUUUUAAGUCGGAUGUGAAAUCCCUGAGCUUAACUUAGGAAUUGCAUUCGAUACUGGGAAGCUAGAGUAUGGGAGAGGAUGGUAGAAUUCCAGGUGUAGCGGUGAAAUGCGUAGAGAUCUGGAGGAAUACCGAUGGCGAAGGCAGCCAUCUGGCCUAAUACUGACGCUGAGGUACGAAAGCAUGGGGAGCAAACAGGAUUAGAUACCCGUGUAGUCCCUGUCUCUUAUAC
Molecule: ribosomal RNA, 301 nt
Filed under: uncultured bacterium
Lineage: Bacteria
Description: partial 16S ribosomal RNA
Rfam family: Bacterial small subunit ribosomal RNA
Source: RNAcentral